Molecule: ribosomal RNA, 635 nt
Filed under: Escherichia coli
Lineage: Bacteria; Pseudomonadati; Pseudomonadota; Gammaproteobacteria; Enterobacterales; Enterobacteriaceae
Description: partial 23S ribosomal RNA
Rfam family: Bacterial large subunit ribosomal RNA
Source: RNAcentral
AAUGGGUCAGCGACUUAUAUUCUGUAGCAAGGUUAACCGAAUAGGGGAGCCGAAGGGAAACCGAGUCUUAACUGGGCGUUAAGUUGCAGGGUAUAGACCCGAAACCCGGUGAUCUAGCCAUGGGCAGGUUGAAGGUUGGGUAACACUAACUGGAGGACCGAACCGACUAAUGUUGAAAAAUUAGCGGAUGACUUGUGGCUGGGGGUGAAAGGCCAAUCAAACCGGGAGAUAGCUGGUUCUCCCCGAAAGCUAUUUAGGUAGCGCCUCGUGAAUUCAUCUCCGGGGGUAGAGCACUGUUUCGGCAAGGGGGUCAUCCCGACUUACCAACCCGAUGCAAACUGCGAAUACCGGAGAAUGUUAUCACGGGAGACACACGGCGGGUGCUAACGUCCGUCGUGAAGAGGGAAACAACCCAGACCGCCAGCUAAGGUCCCAAAGUCAUGGUUAAGUGGGAAACGAUGUGGGAAGGCCCAGACAGCCAGGAUGUUGGCUUAGAAGCAGCCAUCAUUUAAAGAAAGCGUAAUAGCUCACUGGUCGAGUCGGCCUGCGCGGAAGAUGUAACGGGGCUAAACCAUGCACCGAAGCUGCGGCAGCGACACUAUGUGUUGUUGGGUAGGGGAGCGUUCUGUAAGCCU